This 1411-nucleotide unclassified non-coding RNA is filed under the name Leishmania donovani. RNAcentral's name for it is "gene:LdHU3.16.0790(CDS-product:RING-H2_zinc_finge r/Anaphase-promoting_complex_subunit_11_RING-H2_finger/Ring _finger_domain_containing_protein_putative)". Lineage: Eukaryota; Euglenozoa; Kinetoplastea; Trypanosomatida; Trypanosomatidae. The record is from RNAcentral.
AGUUGAUAGCAUCACGCAGCGUGGUCUCGUGGUGGUGUCCACAGGUACCCCCCACACGUGUGCAUGGCUACCACUGCAGCCCCACUCUCCCUCCCUCCACUGCAUCAUCAUCAACCAAGCGUCACUGCCGCGUGCAUACAAAGAGUGGCAGAGACGGCGGCGAGCCUUCUCCGGCUUCCCCGCCUUUUCUUUACAUCAACACUCACGAGCUCUUCGCCCUGCUUGCGGUGGGCGGGGGAGGCGUAGCCACCGUAUAGGGGACGAGCAGACGACGGCCACCGGGACAAAGCACGACGCGCGCCGAACGAGAGCAUCUGCCCCGGCCACGACGACAUCGUUGUCGUCCCCUAUGUCGACGCCAGCAGCAUCGUCGACCCUGCCAGUCGCAGAGCCGGCCAGCAGCGGUGGCGAUGCCGGCUCCGUCGUGACGUCGCGCAUUCCGUGCAGAAUAACAGCACAGCAGUGGGAUACUGUCGCGGUGUGGUCUUGGGAUGUGCAGACGCGCGUGUGCGCCAUAUGCAAGAACAACUUGGCCGAUCACUGCAUCAACUGUCUCGCCAAGGCGCCAUCGUCAUUUAACUCGGCCGUAUCAGCAUCAGCAGUAGCAGGGACGCAGCCCGCGUCCUCCUCGCCGCACCCUGCCUCUGUGGUCUCGGCAGCCAGCGCAGGGCGACUUACUGGCAGGACGUCCACAGCGCAGACAUCGCCACCGCCGGCCACCACCGCCAAACACCCGACUCUGGCAAGGCUGGCGGAUCUUUCAGACAGGUGCCGCGUGGCUUGGGGAACGUGCGGGCACGUGUAUCACUACCACUGCGUCUCGCGGUGGCUUCAGAUGCGCUCCAUGUGUCCGGUGUGUGGGCGGCAGUGGCAGCUGCACAAGAUCACCUCGAACGAGUAGCGACCGCAGGCUGAUGUGCAGCAGCGGAGAAAGGGAAGAGUAGAGGUGAGGGCGUGUGGCAAUGGGAGGGUAAAGCGAAGUCGGGGUGUGCGGGUGGGGGGAAGUGGCAGGCGCGUUGAUGAGCGUCUUUGCAUACUCCCCCACUUGAAUGCUCACCGCUUCAAACACCUCUCCUCCGUUUCCCACCCUUCCUCGUUGCUGUCCAUCAGCGGCGCCAUCCGCACGUCAUUUCGCUGACCUUCUACCCACUGCAGGCCCAGGCACACACACACACACACACACACGCACACAUUGUGAUGUGCACACACCAUCGCCAGCAUCGCGGCCUCUGAGAUAUCCUCCCGCUAUCGACCCAUAUGUUUCAAAACCGCGCCACCCACGCCCGACACCUCCGUCUCUUCCACGGCUGCACGCCUUUUGCCUUUCACGUCGAUUUCUGUUCCGGCGGUUGCGCCAUCGUUUUUUUUUUUUGGUGUUUAGUUCUCACCCGCUCGCCUAGGAGGCCUCUUG